UUUCCGUAGGUGAACCUGCGAAAGGAUCAUUGUCGUGACCCUGACCAAAACUGACUGCGCAUGCGUUAUCUAUCUUACCGGCGGCGGCUCUGUCCAUCGCUUGGCCAAAGUCCUCGAAAACCUCCUAUCCUUGUAGGUGGGGCUCGGGGUAAAAGAACCCAUGGUGCCAAAGGCGUCAAGGAACACUUAUGCCUAACCCGGGGACGCGGUUGGCUUGCUAGCCGUCCCCAGUGUUGCAAUGCUAUUUAAUCAACAUGAAUCUCGGCAACGGAUAUCUCGACUCUU
This 285-nucleotide unclassified non-coding RNA is filed under the name root metagenome. RNAcentral describes it as "partial contains small subunit ribosomal RNA, internal transcribed spacer 1, and 5.8S ribosomal RNA". The record is from RNAcentral.